CGCGGGGUGGAGCAGCUCGGUAGCUCGCUGGGCUCAUAACCCAGAGGUCGUCGGUUCGAAUCCGGCCCCCGCUACUA
RNAcentral lists this transfer RNA (77 nucleotides) under Corynebacterium tuscaniense. Its description in RNAcentral is "tRNA-Met". It matches the Rfam family "tRNA". Rfam says of the family: Transfer RNA (tRNA) molecules are approximately 80 nucleotides in length. Lineage: Bacteria; Bacillati; Actinomycetota; Actinomycetes; Mycobacteriales; Corynebacteriaceae. The record is from RNAcentral.